AGUACAAUAAAUGAUAUUAGUACAUUUUCUUAAGUCGUGAUCAUGUCUUGCAUGCCCCCUAGUAUUAUGACCACUUGCAUGUUUUCCUCGAAUUUCAUCAGUUUCCAGGAUCAAGUGCAAAACAUAAAAUGUGAUAAGUAAAUAGAAAAUUCUAUUGAAGAUAUUGAAUUUUUAUUUCAUGUAGACUGACCAACAAAGAGGACAUGUAGNNNN
RNAcentral lists this long non-coding RNA (213 nucleotides) under Solanum tuberosum (potato). Its description in RNAcentral is "long non-coding RNA (STUB_LNC001145)". The record is from RNAcentral. Lineage: Eukaryota; Viridiplantae; Streptophyta; Magnoliopsida; Solanales; Solanaceae.